Molecule: long non-coding RNA, 27116 nt
Filed under: Eutrema salsugineum
Lineage: Eukaryota; Viridiplantae; Streptophyta; Magnoliopsida; Brassicales; Brassicaceae
Description: long non-coding RNA (ESAL_LNC002135)
Source: RNAcentral
GAGAAGCCAUAUCGGGAACUGAUAAUGGGCUUGGGCUUGGGCCCAUAGGAGUAGUUGGUUGGGCCAUUGGGCUUGAAGAUGGAGUCAUUGGCAUCAUAGGUGGUGGAGUCAUGGGCAUUGGUGGUGGAGCCAUGGGCAUAGGUGGUGGAGUCAUAGGCAUAGGUGGUGGAGCCAUAGGCAUAGGUGGUGGAGUCAUCAUUGGCAUCGGAGAGCUGCGGCCGCUAGACAUCGGCGGCAUCGACAUUGAGCCAGAAGGAGCCAUCAUGGGAGAUUGAGCUAAAGAGAAAUGAAUUAAAACCAUAGGCAAUGUGACCAAAAGGAGGGCUUGUGAAGAGGCCAUGGUUAUGUGUGUUGAAUAGUGGGUGUUAUGUAAAGUGAUAUAUAGAGAGAGGUAUGUGAGUUGUAAAAGAAUGGGAGAGAAAAGUGAAGGUUCUUUGUGCUAUUGGGGAUAUAUAUUAGAGAUUAUUUGUUUUUAUUUUUGGACCGUUGGAUAUAGUGUGUGACACGUAUCAGUCGAUAGAUAGGUAUGAGAUGCUGAUUUAUUUUCCUCCACAUGUUGAAAAAAAAAAAGAGAUAGAAGAAAAUUCCAAAGUGAAAUUUCUUUGUAGGUACAGAUAGAAUAAUCAAUACACAUGAAAAUGGGACUAUUAUGAUUAUAAUGCAUUUUAUUUUCAUUCUUUAGUGGAACCAUCAAUCGGAUUCACGGGUUGGUUUUUAAGGGGGCCAUAUAUCAAAAUUAUUAGGAAUGUCAUUUAAUGGUGUUUGUUAGUCAUUAAUAUGCUAAAACGAUGAAAUUUUGAAAUGUUAGUAGACUUUUAUAACCAAGUCAAGAUAUAAUUUCAUCAGAAAAAAACAAUUUAUAUGGAAAAGGAUAAAAGACCAUAAUGCUAUGGUACAAGAGAAAAGACAAAUAGGGACCAUUUGUGUUGCAUUUGGUCACACAGGCCUAAUAAGCUCCACGGCCAAUAUUAUGUCCGCACCCACUAACCGACAUUUUUGGUUACCCCAUACUCUUUUCUUUUUUCCUCUCACGAGUACUCUUUGUCCCUCAUUUACUAUUUAUCCAUCUUUUAAAUUAUACUUUUUAAAACAAACAUGUAACAUGUUCUAUACAUAUAUAUAUAUACUUUGAUUUCGUUGUUUUAUUGUACAUUUCUUCAGCUCGUUUGAAUUUAACCGUUAUGAUCGUCCCUUGAUCAAAUGUAUUCUCUCAACUCAUUAGUUCAGGAUCCAGGAAAAUUAGAUGAAAUAGACAAAUAGUACAUGCAUCACUUGAAGUAACUAUAAUUACUAUACCGUUAAAGUAGUUGUAUAGAGAUUUCAAUAUUAUAACGUUAGGGCUCUAAAUAUAUGGGCUCAUUAUAAAUGGGCAUGUAGUCGCAUGAGGCCGAAUCCCAGCUGGCAGAGAAAUGAGCGGGAAAUUUUAUGUACAAAAUGCUCGAAACAAUGUCACACGUAGCGCACGUGCCAUUCUCCCGCCCGUUUCUCCAUUUUCCCCAAAUCUCAAAUUCUCAAUCCCUAGUUUCUCUCUCUCCCCAGAUUCACAGCAUUUGCAUUUUGCAAUGUCUGAAGACUCGGAACCGCGUCAACUCGGGAGAUCGACCGCCGGCGGAGAGCUAAUAGGUCUUGGUCUCACUGAGUCAGACGGCGAGGAGCAUUUCUAUCACCAGAAAGCUUUGGAGUUAUGUCGUCACCUACUCUUCGUUGGCCACUCAGAACUAGUUACAGAUCUUUCUUCACAAUGUACACACUUCCAAGCUUCGCCUGAGCUCGUCAAAGUUCUUUGCUCGAUUCCUAAUUCCCCUGUCUCCCUUACCGGAGACGGCUUAUCCGUGACUCUCUCGCGCGAGUUGCUCUCCGAUCCGGCCUGUUUCGCCUGUAGUUUGGGUGUGCCGGAAAAUGUUUUGUUUGAACAGAUUACGCGUUUCUCGGAUCCGAGAGCUCCCAAGCCUAAGCGAAAUGGUCUCGGGCAUAUGGGAGGUACUAACUUAGCACUUGUUUCAUUUUAGUCGUUAUCUGGCAUCUGAUUUUGUUGUUUAGUAGUCACACUUACAUAGAGAUUCUCUUCUUGAUUAUGGAUUAUUAUGAAAAAUUUCAGAAAAUGAGGAGCAAGAAGAGCUGCAGCUCAUGCCAUUGCCCAAAAGAAGCCGAAAGGAGGAACCAGAUGUAAGUAAUCUCUUUUAACAAAAAGAUGAAUUUCUCAAGGUAUAAUUCAAUUUCAAAAAUGGGGAGUUGAUUCAUUGAUUUUUUUUUUUCUAGGUGAAUGACUACUCUGUAAUGGAUAGCAGAGCUAACGACAUGACAAAUAUUGCCAAUGGGUCCAUGCUUGAGACACUGAAAGCUUUUGAAUCCCAAGCUUCGCUUUUAGUUUUAGGUAGAGAUGGUCGAGAAAUAGGAGCAUUUGACCAAAGUCCUUGGUCUGGUCCACGGACUAGAAUUUUUGGAUGCGAGAUUUUCUCCAAUGCUUGUGUGGAUGUCGAUCCUAUGCACUGCUUGGGGGAACGCAAGCAAGAUUCGCCAUCUCCUCGAGAGGUUGGAUACUGUAAGCAAAUUGAGAUUGAAGAUUUUCAAAUUGUUGAUAACCUAAGAUUAUUCGAAGACGAUGAGGAUAAAAACGAGAAGGAUUUGUUCCAUAAGGGGGAGAUACGAACUCCCGAUGUGCAGUCCGAUCCUGCUGCCCCUUCGAUGCCAUCAGAAAAUGAGUUAAAAUCUGUAUAUAUUGUAGAGGACACUGAAGAUAUGCUUGCCUUGAGUUGUAACCCAUUAAAGCAAGAGGACAACGCUGUAGACAUCUUCAGCACCCCUGUCAAAGAGCUGCCUUUGAUGCCUUCUGCAACAAUAGCUAAUCAAGAUAGAUCCUUGGUACAGAAAACACAGGAUCUGUGCAAAUUAUCGGGAAACAGCAAAGGUUACAGCUGUUCCCCUGAGAAAAAACACACCAGGAAAUGUAAAGCUAUCCAGAGGUCAAAGCAGAAUCUUAACUCCGUUCGACCUAAAGAUCAGAAGGUAGACAUUUCUUUUUUAUCUAGAGUGAGCCCCUUGCAAUUCCGUUUUUUUAUUUAUUUAAACAGCUUUCCAUGUUGCUGAAAGUACUUUUAUACCAACAUUGAGGAUUAAUCCACUAUAUUAAGAUUUCUCAUAUCUGUUGUUUAGGAUGAGUCAAAACAGAACACUUUUCCAGUUUUUGAUUCUUACACUAUUGUAGAGGAAGAAGGCUCAGGUACAUUUUCCUUACAAUUUCAUCUAUAUUCCUGAUUUUGUUGAAACAGCUUAAUUGGUUAUCGGCUAAUGAUUGGUGAAAUCCAACUGUAGGUGGCUACGGGAUUGUUUAUAAGGCAAAGAGGAAAACCGAUGGAAAAGAGUUUGCCAUUAAAUGUAUGAAACAGAAUGAUAUGUUGCUAGAUUUUUUCACUUCGUCACAUCGUUUUUGGUUGGCAAUUUGGUCUCAUGUGUUUUCCAUACAGGUCCCCAUGCUGGUGCUCAGAAAUACUAUGUUAAUAAUGAACUCCGAAUGCUGGAGCGUUUUGGGUAAGUAACAAAGUUUGAUCCGCUAAUGAACCUCCUACAUAUUUAAACCCAAAUAUCUGAAAUUGCCUAAAUGUUGGUUCACUUAGGGGGAAAAACUUUAUAAUAAAGUUUGAAGGCUGUCUUAAGAACGGAGAUUCCGAUUGCAUGAUCCUUGAGCACCUUGAACAUGACAGACCUGAUUGUUUGAGGAGAGAAAUAGACGUGUAUCAGCUACAGUUGUACGGAUACUGCAUGUUCAAAGCUCUGUCAAGUCUUCAUAAGCAGGUAAAGCAGAUGUUGGACUAAAACUUUUGAGCAUUCAUAUUUCAAUCACGCAACUAACCAGUUAUAUUGUUUUCUUUUGCAAAUGUGAAGGGUGUUGUUCAUAGGGAUGUUAAGCCAGGCAACUUUCUUUUCUCUAGGAAGAGUAGCAAAGGCUGUCUCAUUGACUUUAACCUCGCCAUGGUUAGCAUUUUUCUGGCACCCUUCUCUUAUUAAUACUUUUCUAGCAACAUUUAUUGGUUAGUGUUUUGUAUAAUAGAAUUUGAGGUUACGAAACCUGUUUAGUGCUCUUAUAUAAUAUUUAGGUCAGUGUCUACUAGAGGCACUGAAAAGCUUGAGCUGAGCUAUCACAAACGUUUGUGUUCAUAGUUUGUGUUAUGUUCCCACCCACUGAUAUUAAUUUCACUUUCCUCUGUGGCUUAAUUUAGGAUUUGCACCAGAAGCACAGGAGAGCCGGUAAACUUCUCCCCUCAUGCAUUUGGGUUGAAUUAAGUAAAACAAAUGGAAACUAAAGCUAUCCCUUAUAUGUAUAUCAGAUAAAUCAAAAGCAGCUACAGAUCUCCCAACCGCCAGCAAGAAGCAUCAUACUUUGAUUAAAUCUCCUGACACGACCAACCGAGUGACCAACAAAUCUUCUCAGAAAACUUUAGCGCCAAAUAGUCUGAAGAAAGCAGCGGGAAAGAUAAGAGCUCAGACUGACAUGAGUAGAUGGGAGAGGUUCAAUAGCCAAGGCGCGGAAGGGUCUGGCUUAACUUCGGCCAAAGAUGUGACCAGCACAAGGAACCACCCUUCAGGUGAAAAGAGGAGAGAGCCUUUGCCAUGUCAUGGAAGGAAAGAGCUUCUAAACUUUCUGCAAGAGACAAUGUCUGGUUCAAUUCCAAACCACGAAGUAUCAUCCAAAGCUCCUACAUCUAUGAGAAAACGUGUUGCUGCUCAUCCAGGGAAAGCUGAGAAACAGCUUCUUCAUCUGACCCCAAUGCCGCUGCGCUCUAAUGGUCGGCGUGAAGCAGGUGGAUUCCUGGUGUAUAAUUUGACUCUUGUUUUUUGUUUCAGAGUUUAACUUUAACCCUAAGAAAAAAAUCUGACUUACUAGGGGAUGUAAGUAAGAAGAAAGAUGGUCCUUGCUCAGGAACGAAAGGCUACCGAGCACCAGAGGUACGUCAACUGUAACUAUCGCUCACUUUGCUUAUAUGGUAGAGAGAGAGAAUGUUAGUGGGUUUAGGCUUCCGAGUUACUAGUAAAUCCAUUUAUAUAUCAUACAAAUCUUAUGCUUUGAGCUACUUAUUAGAACAUUUUAUGAUGGGAAAGCUAAUUCUCUGGGGCGGUUCUUGGCUGAAUUGGCUUGUGCAGGUUUGCUUAAGAUCUUUGCACCAAGGACCUAAGAUCGACGUGUGGUCUGCAGGAGUUACUCUAUUAUAUCUAAUGAUGGGAAAAACACCUUUUACUGGUGACCCUGAACAGUUAAGAUUUGUAAUUGACUUACUUUGCCAUCACUUCAUUGCAUUCUGUUUUCUUUCUUUCCUUCUUACAACGGCCUCUUGAUUCUCAGGAACAUAAAGGACAUUGCGCAGCUACGAGGCAGUGAAGAAUUAUGGGAAGUAGCCAAGCUGCAUAACCGUGAAUCUUCUUUCCCUGAGGUAAUAAUCGCACCUUAUCACCCUUGUAGACUCUUCUUUGCAUCGAUUGCUGCAUUUGUGUGGCAUAAUAUGGCUAUGUACACAUGGUCGGUUCUUAAAUCUAGAGAAAGAGAAGGUUGAUCUGGCUAAUAUCGCAUGCUCUGUUCUCCUUUACCGCCAGCAUUUGGAUUUAAAUAUCAAAUACUGUAAGAGGGUUUUCAGUUAUAGCGCUUUGGGUCCUAUUGCGGAAAACGGGGUAUAUAUUAUUAUAUACAUUACAUGAUCUGAUACGUUGUAUGGAUAGAUGAUAAAAAAGAGAUGAAUUCACGUAGCAAUUUUGUUUUUGCUCCAGGAAUUAUACGAGUCAAGGUACUUGAAGAGGAUGGAGCUGAGAAAAUGGUGCGAAAUCAACACAAAACGCAGAGACUUCCUAGACGUGAUUCCACGGUCGCUGCUUGACCUUGUUGAUAAGUGUUUGACUGUUAACCCAAGGCUACGAAUCGGCGCAGAGGAUGCUCUCAAGCACGACUUCUUUUAUACAAUCCAUGAAAAUGAAACCCUUAGAAAACAAAGGCUCCUAAAGCAGCAGCAAACGGGAACGCAGCCUCCAGUGGUGGCUAAUUCAGUAGGCCAACCGCUAAGCUAGAAAUCACAAAUGUAAAUUAAGUAAUAACAAAAUAUUAUAUGAAAGCUUCACUCCACAGGCCACACCACAAAUCCCAUAGUAGUAUAUGUCUAUAUGACUAGGGAACAUAUCAUAUUUGUUAUUAGAAGCAAGUCUAACUUCACUUGGGCCUUAAAUAAAUUUCGUGUUGGGAAUUGAUAUCAUUCAGUAAAAGUCCAAAAGUCUCUCGUCUGCGAAAUGGAAGAGAGUAAUGUCAAGUUUGUUUCUCACAGACUCACCCUAUGAAUUGCCGUGCAGCGUACGGAUCUUCUUAUUUUCUCUCAAUCUCUUCCUGUGACAGGAUUCUUCAUCACUAAUCUGCAACGAAUACUGGUUCACUUCCAUGGCGUCUUCUUCUUCUCGUUCCUGGAGAUACGAUGUUUUCCCGAGUUUCAGCGGUGAAGUUGUCCGCAAAUCAUUCCUCAGCCAUCUUCUGAAGGAGCUUGACCGCAAAUCAAUCAAUGCAUUUAUAGAUGAUGGGAUCGAGAGAAGCCGCCCGAUCGGCCCUGAGCUUUUAUCGGCGAUUAGAGAAUCGAGGAUCUCAAUCGUCGUCUUCUCAAAGAGUUAUGCUUCUUCCACGUGGUACCUGAAUGAAUUGGUGGAUGGAGAUCCACAAGUGCUAUAUGGAGUUUGACCAAAUGGUGAUUCCACAGCGUUGACCCUUCGGAAGUUCGAAAACAUACCGGAGAAUUUGGAAAGGUGUUUAAAGAGACAUGCGACGGCAAAACGGAGGAUCAGAAGCAAAGGUGGAUGCAAGCUCUCGUAGAUGUAGCAAAUAUGGCCGGAGAGGAUCUUCGGAACUGGUAUAAACUAUAAACCUUGUGUUAUCAUUCCAUAGUUCGUGUCGUGCAUUGACUUCGAUUGUGCUUUUAGGGCAGCUCUUUAAUGUCACAAUUUGUUAUUAGGUGUAACGAAGCCAGCAUGAUUGAAAAGAUAGCCGAUGAUGUUUCGAAUAAACUUAUCACAACAUCGGAUUGUUAUGGCGAUUUGGUGGGGAUUGAAGCUCAUUUAGAAGCAAUGAGCUCAAUAUUGUGCUUGGAAUCCGAGGAAGCUAGAAUGGUAGGGAUUUUGGGGCCUUCUGGGAUUGGUAAGAGUACCAUAGGAAGAGCUCUUUUCAGUCAACUCGCUAGCCAAUUCCAACUUUUGUAACUUAUAAAAGAACCAACCAGGAUGACUACGGCAUGAAGUUGUGUUGGGAAGAAAAUUUUUUAUCAGAGAUUCUUGGUCAAAAGGACUUGCAGAUAUACCAAUUAGGUGCGGUGGAGCAACGGUUAAAACUCAAGAAAGUUCUCAUUGUUCUUGACGAUGUUGAUGAUAUAGAGCUCCUAAAAACCUUGGUUGGGCAAACGGAAUGGUUUGGAUCCGGGAGCAGAAUUAUUGUGAUCACUCAAGAUAGGCAACUUCUUAAGGCUCAUGAGAUUGACCUUAUAUAUGAGGUGAAGUUCCCAUCUCAAGAUUCUGCUCUCAAGAUGUUAUGCCAAUCUGCAUUUCGGCAAAACUCUCCACCUAAUGGUUUAAUGGAAUUGACAGUUGAAGCUGCCAAGCUUGCCGGUAACCUUCCUUUGUGUCUCAGUGUCUUGGGUUCGUCUUUAAGAAGAAAGGACAAAAAAGAGUGGGAGGAGAUGCUGCCUAGACUCCAAAAUGGUUUGGACGGGAAGAUUGAGAAAAUAUUAAGAGUCGGCUACGAUAGAUUAGAUGGCAAAGACCAAGAGUUAUUUCUCUUCAUUGCAUUUGCAGGUUUAUUCAAUGGUUUGCAAGUCAGUUACAUCAGAUUAAAUGAUGUCAUUGAUGUGACAAUCAGUGUCAGUGACAUCAAAUGCUUGCUCGGAGAUGGUGUUACCACUGGGCUUACAGUGUUGACUGAUAAGUCCCUCAUACGUAUAACACCGCACGAAACUAUAGAGAUGCACAAUUCGCUACAGAAGUUGGCUAGAGAAAUUGGUCGUGCAGAGUCUAUAAACAAUCCUGGAAAACGACGAUAUCUGGUGGAUGUUGAGGACAUUUGCGAUGUUUUUACGGAUAAAACCGUAAGUUUUCUCGCAUAUGCUUUUAAUGCUCGGCUUUAUAAAAUUUAAGCGUUAUUUGGUGAUUGAUAGAUAAACUUUUACGAUUGUUCCCACCUGCUUUAUUUGAGCGCGGGGCUCAGAUGUCAUAAGGAGAAAAAAAAAAUCUCGCCUGCCAUAAAUCAUUGUGUAUUGACGUUUUUAGCCUUAAUGAACUGAUUAUAAAAUUAAAUAAAAUCGUUUAUUUUUAAAAAUAAAAAUAAAAGCUGCAAAUAAGCUUCUUCUUCCCCGAGUUAGGUUUCCGUACACAUCCGCCGCCGCCGCAGAGAGCUUGAUUCGAACCACCGUCGUUUGCUGGUGCCGGCUCAUUUUUUUUGUUUAACUACUCUUUCUUAUCCUGCCAUUUGUGUGAGAAGACUUCGAAAAGGUAUGGUGGUGUGUAUUUUGGAGAUUUAUAAAUUAGAGUUUUUUUUUGUUUGUUUGGUGGUCGUUUAACUAUGUACAUUGCCUAAGUUUGUUGUUUAUUGGUUAAGUUCUCUUCGAAUCGAUGUUAAUUUGUCGAUUUUUAGUGUUGAAUCUGUUUGGUAGAUGUGAAACGAGGAUGUGAAACCAAAGAUUUUAGCCAAGAAAGUUUGGGAAUUUAGAUAACUGGUACAAAAGGUAUAAGUAAAAGAUACGGGACAAGUAGUACAAAUGGUAGAACUGAUAAUUAUGGGACAACUAGUACAAGUCUCUGUUAAGACUGAUAAUGUGGGACAACUAGUACAAAUGUUAUAGUGAGAAAUUCGGGACAACUAGUAUAAAAGGUAUAACUGUGAAACGUAAUUGGUAAUAUUAUUUUUUAUUUGCUGCGUAUACCAGGAUAUAAUGAGCAUUGGCCACACCAACAUAAAUUUUGAGUAUGGAGGAUAUUAUUCACGGAACAAACGACCAACAGGUGUAACCCAGGAGUUUAGUUCAGGAACAAACGACCAACAGGUGUAACCCACGAAGAACUGGACAACUGUGUUUUUUUCAUCUAAUCAUGUUUUAGGACAUCUAGACAGCUAUGUACGUAUGUUGUCAUUUUCAUUUUUUUCAUAUGUUUAGAUAUCGGGAAAACUGGACAACUAUUACAACUAUGUUGUAUUUGUGAAGUACAAUUGACGUUUCAUAUGUUUGAAAUUGGGACAACUGGACAACUAGUACAAUUAUGUUGUAUUUGUGAGGUACAAUUGACGAAUCAUAUGUUUGAAAUUGGGACAACUGGACAACUAGUACAACUAUGUUGUAUUUGUGAGGUACAAUUGACGAAUCAUAUGUUUGAAAUUGGGACAACUGGACAACUAGUACAACUAUGUUGUAAUCAUAUGUUUGAAAUUGGGACAACUAGACAACUAGUACAACUAUGUUGUAUUUGUGAUGUACAAUUGACGAAUCAUAUGUUUGAAAUUGGGAUAACUGGACAACUAGUACAACUAUGUUGUAUUUGUGAUGUACAAUUGACGAAUCAUAUGUUUGAAAUUGGGACAACUAGUACAACUAUGUUGUAUUUUUGAUGUACAAGUGACGAAUCAUUUGUUGGAAAUUGGGACAACUGGACAACUAGUACAACUAUGUUGGAUUUGUGAUGUACAAUUGACGUUUCAUAUGUAUGAAAUUGGGGUUUAGUACAAACCCUAGACAACUAUGAAAGACAUCUAAAAUGAGGUUUUAAAGAAGCUUCAGAAAAUGGGAUAACAAAUUAUAAGUUUAGAGUCAUAAUAUUGGUUUGACACUAAACACUCCUUAUAAAACAAGAGAGUCUUCACUAAUACUCAUCACAUGAUGAUGGAUAAAUGCAAAUGUUUGGAUUUAAUCAAAACGGAUUAAUCAGGACUUUUUAAUUGUGGUAUGAAACUUCAAACAAAUAUGAACAACUACAAUAUGUGGUAUAUGGUCAUGGGUCAACUGGAAAUAUUUGAAAAAGCUUAAAGUACAACUCUUACAAAUAUUGGACAACAAUACAAGUACGUACAACUAUAUGAUAACCCUUAUCAUAUUAUAUUUGCACGUGAAGCACAUGUGUUUACUAUGGCGGCAAAAUAAUUAAAUAGUUUUUAAAAUCUCUUUUCUUUAAAUUGUUCUUCCUCAUAUUCUACUGAGAACUUCCUCCUUUUUUAGGGUUUCAGCCGCAGAGCAAUUUCACAAGAUUAAGAUAAUGUCGAAGAAGAAAUCUUCCUAAAAAAGACUGCCUUUCCGCCGAAGGAUUACGGCAUGACCACCAGGUGGGGGCCCGAAGUUAAUGGAGUCCGCACCAUUCUUCCAUGUCCCAUACAGAUGGGAAUUCCCAAGGUUUGCCACCACGGAAUUGCUCCAAUUGGCUGUUUAACCAACCAUUCAGCGUUAGAUAGGGGACGUAGGUACUUUGGUUGUUUUUAUGGUUGCCAUAGUUGAAGAGAUUAAAAUGGUAAAAGAAACUCAAGAGGAGAUGAAGUCUUUGUUUGAUGUCAUUAUCUCGAGAAUUGAAGCUCUUGAGGCUGCUGUGACCAAGAAGAGUUGCUCGAAGGAAGUUUGAAGCUCAAGAUCGUUUGUUGAACCUUGUCCUACAUCGUUGUCUUUGUUUCUUGAACCUUGUUGUCCUUUAUUGUCCUACAUCGUUUAACUAUGUUGUCCUUUAUUGAACUACAUUGUUAUCCUUUACUGAACUACUUUGUUGAACCUUGUUGUCCUUUAUUGUACUAAUUUGUUGAACCUUGUUGUCUUUUAUUGUCCUACAUCGUUUAACUUUGUUGUCCUGUAUUGAACUAUUUUGUUGAACCUUGUUGUCCUUUAUUGUCCUACACCGUUUAACCUUGUUGUUCUUUAUUGUCCUAAAUCCCAAAGAAUUGACCAUUAUUGUCCUAAUAUGUCCCAAAUCCAAACAAAUGUCCAAAUUCGAAUAUCAAACAUAAAAUCCACAACAUAAACUAAACAUCCGCAAACAACAUAACCUGUAACUUAAAAGAAAAACAUAACAUCCAGAAAACAAGAUAAACUGCAACAUCCGACACUUCUACUUCGAUAACAUCCAGUCUUCUGCUCUUGUUCUUCACCCUCCUGCUCUUGUUCUUCAGCCUCAUCCUCUUUUUCAUCAGCCUCCUGCUCUUGUUCUUCGGCCUCCUGCUCUUCUUCUUCAGCCUCAUCAUUUCCCUCCUCUUGUUCAUCAGCCUCUUCAUUUCUCGAAUCUUGUUCAUCACCCUCCUCCUUUCCCUCCUCUUCUUCAUCACCCUCCUCCUUUCCCUCCUCUUCUUCUUCACCCUCCUUUCCCUCCUCUUCUUCUUUGCCCUCCUCCUUUCCAUCGUCUGCUUCAUCACCCUCAGCCUCGUCUUCUUCUUCCAUGGGGUUUAUCGUUUCGGUUUCAUCUUCUGUGGGGAUUUUUUGGGCUGCGGUCUCCUCGAUAGGAUUCGGAGAGGUUUCUUUCUCCAUUUCUGUUUCUGAACUACAAACAUCUUCGCUUGUCUUUGUCGCGGCUUCGGUGGGAAUAGGGUUUACAACGGCUUGAGGAAUAUUUCCUUUCUCUUUAUCGGCGGCUUCAGGAUUUACUUCAGAUUCUCUCGCUGCGGCUUGAGAAUGCGAUUCCGUUUUAGGCAACGUUUUCCGACUUUCAGUUGACUCAUACUCGACGCCUUUUUGUUUCACACGAGUCAUGGAGAAGUCGUAACGAACCGAAGAUGGAGAAAUCGAUUAAAACGGAAGUUGUAGAUGGUGGAGUGGAAAUAAAACGAACGCAAUCGGUUAGCUUCUAUCAACACUCGCCGGAUUUUACGCCGGAAAACUCUCUCAAAUCUUUUUUCGAAUUUCAAUUAACUGUGUGGAGGUUUUUUUCCAAGAACUGAUAAAAUGGUAAAGUAAAUUAGGGUAAAUAAAAAGAAAUGCGAGUCGAAUCCGAUUUUAAUUGGGUAGGUUUUCAAAUGCCCAGAUAUUGUUGUAAUUAACGAGACAUUCAUGUAUAAGGUAAUAAACAACCAUCUUUUUGCUAUUUAAAAAAAAUUAAAAAGGAAUUGAUUAUACGAACGAUGGCAUUGGGGCUCUUUCUUCAGCGAUUUAUGGCAUUUUAGCAUUUGAUUCGCUUUAUUUUAACACUGUUACAAUUGUUUUUUUUUUCCUGUUAACUAACAGUUACAAUUGUUAAGAUAAUAGUUUUCGUGUGAUUUUUUUUUUCAGGGCACAGAAGCUGUAGUAGGAAUAUAUUUCGACACAUUAGAAAUCAAAGAGCCAUUUUCAAUAGAUGAAAAAUCGUUCGAAGGCAUGCGUAAUCUCCAAUUUCUAAUAGUUCGAGGGUCUCCACGGGGUAGAUUGCGUCUACCUCAAGACCUCGUUUAUUUACCCCGUAAACUCAUAUUGCUAAAGUGGGAUGGUUAUCCAUCCAAGUGUUUGCCUUGAACUCAGAAUGGAGAAUAGUUUGCUUGAGAAGCUGUGGGAAGGAAUUCAGGUACUAUAGUUUUAAAUUUAUUUCUAAGUUUCAUACGGUGUUACUAUUAGAACAAAUAACGGUCUUAUUUUUCUAUAUAUAUUGUUGUUAAAAGUUUAUAGAAUAUGUGUUCAAAAUGAUUUUGAACCUGUGCAUUUAUUUUUAUUUUCCUGUUUGUUUUCAGCCACUUGGAAGCCUCAAGCAAUUGAUUAUGAAUUGGUCCACAUAUUUGAGAGAACUUCCAGAUCUCUCUAAGGCCAUAAACCUCGAGAAAGUGUAUCUUGAUGGAUGCAAAUCUUUGGUGACAUUUCCUUCCUCGAUUCAGAAUCUCCUGAAACUGAGAGAUUUACAUUUGGAAAAUUGCACAGAGCUAGAAAGUUUUCCAACUCUUGUCAACUUGAAAUCUCUCGAGUACCUCAAUCUCCGAGGAUGCUCCCGGUUGAGAAAUUUCCCUCAGAUUUAUAUGGACAGUUCACAUGGAAUUAGCAUCGAAGUAAAAGACUGUUUCUGGAACAACAAUCUCCCUGGACCCGAUUAUCUCGGUGGCCUUAUGAGAUGUAUGCCUUGUAAAUAUCGACCAGAACAUCUCGUUCGUCUUACAGUGAAAGGCAACAUGCUUGAGAAGCUAUGGGAAGGCGUCCAGGUACAUUGUUAAUGUUUGAAUGUCAUAUGAUUGAAACAUAACAAAAUGUUUGGUUGUUCUGUUUCAGUCGCUUGGAAGUCUCGUGAGGAUGAAUCUGUCAGGAUCUGUAAACCUGAAUGAAUUUCCAGAUCUUUCAAAGGCCACCAAUCUGGAGCGUUUAGAACUCAACUAUUGCCAUAAUUUGGUGACUGUUCCUUGUACAAUUGAGAAUCUCAAGAAAUUGGUAAAGUUGGAAAUGAAAGGAUGCAUAAGGCUGGAGGCUCUUCCAACCGAUGUCAACUUGUCAUCUCUCGAAACCCUCGAUCUCAGUUGGUGCUCAAGUUUGACAAGUUUUCCUCAAAUUUCAUGGAGUGUGAAAAAACUCUAUCUAAAUGACACUGCCAUUGAACAAGUUCCCUGCUGUAUAGAGAAAUUCUGGAGGCUCCUUGAACUAACGAUGUGUCGUUGCAAGAGGUUGAAAAACAUCUCCCCAAACAUUUUCAGUCUGAGCCGUCUUGUGAAGGCAGACUUUUCAGACUGUGAAGGAGUAGAGACGGCAUUGAGUGAUGCAACUCCAGUGGCAACAAUGUCAACGGAGGAUCAAAUUCCUUCUAUACCAUUACACACAAAUGCCUAUAGAAGGGAAUAUUUUGAGUUCAAUAAUUGCUUCAAAUUGGAUAGAAAUGCGCGGGCACUCAUCCUACGAUCAUACGUGGCGCCUACAGUCUUACCAGGUGAAGAAGUGCCUGCGUAUUUCACGGAACAAGCUUCUGGAACUACCGUAGCUGUCAAGUUACCUCAGAGCUUUCUUUCUCAAGAACACCUCGCAAUUAAGGCUUGCGUCGUGGUCGGCAAGGGUUCGCAUUCAUACUUAGGGUUACGCUGGCACUUCAGAGGCGAAGAGCAUUGGGACACAAUAUUUGAAAAUCUGCCGGGGUCUUUUAAGAGGGAUCAUCUGGUUUUGCUUUCCUUCAAGUUCCGGCCUUCACUUCGUUUGGGUUUGAGUGACUUGAGUCCAACUAAUUUUCACUUCGACGAUGUUGAGUUUGAGUCUUCCACCAUCAACCCAUCCUCUGGCACCUUCUCACCGUCGGUCCAGAGGAUAACAGGAUGUGGUAUAAGAUUCUUGAAUCGGUCUACUACACGUCGUCGUCUAUCUAAAUUGGACUACUACUACAACGAUGUUGUCUCUGAGUUCUUCUUCAACCGAACAUUAAGAGAGGAUGCUGAGUACUUCUCUGGAAGAUGAAUCUGAUGAUGGAAGCUCUGGAACAGAGUACAACCAAAAAUCUAUACAAAGUUGUUAUCAAGAAAACAAUCUGUACAAAAUGUGAUGUUGUAGGGAUUGUGAGAAGAAAGAACGGAUGCGGGUAAAGCUUUUUGAACUCAAAAUUAUAAGGGUAUCUCUUGAUCUUUUUUUUCAGGAUCAAUAUCAUAGGUCCAUAGGGAUGAACUAUUUAAUAGACUAGAUCGUUUGGUUUUAUUAUGUAGAUUACAUUAAAAGAAUACAUGUGGGAUGUGGCGAUAAAGUAGCGGACACAGGUAUUGACGCCUCCAAAUAUAGAAUUUCUUCUACAAGUAAGAUACCGUUAGUUUCUUCUAGCAACUUUCAUGUCCAUGGAGCAUCCCUGUAUCUAUCCCUUUCUCCUUCUAUUCCAUGUCUGGAGGGGCAAGUUUUGUCUGUUGAUCCCCGAGAUAACUGAACAACUAGAUAUAUACAGAAACACUCACCGUGGAUCCUUUGUCGCACCCAGAGCUUACCAACUUUUUUUUACGGUAAGUGAAACAUCUUACAGUUCUGUUUUGUUCUAUAACAUCUUGCGAAUUGCGAUCGACCGUGGCUAUGCUGAUCUUGCCAAGACGUUUUCGUAGUUUUUUACGCAAUCCAUUUUUCCCUGCAGGUGAUGGUGAACUUCUCGAGAACCAGAACCUGUUUACGCACUCUAUUCUUACUUCUUUGUGUUACUGUUUCCCUCUUUGAGAAUUUCGCUUUUCAUGAAAGAAUAAACAUCUUUCAAAUAGCCACAAUUCAGCACAUUCUGGAAAAUUUUCUUUAGCAGGUUUUGUUUUGUACCAUAAAUCUAUCGGUUUUUAGUUGGAAAUUCGUUGAAUUUGUGAGCUUGGGUUUUACAUACUUGACUCGGGUAGUUUUUCUUUCCUUCUAACAAAGCAAUGAAUAAAUCAGGAUUUGGCCAAACUAAAAAUGUAUAAAAAAAAAUUCACUAGUUCUAAAUGGCAAGACCCUCUUCAUCAUCAGCAACAUUUGGAUCGCUGUUUCCAUGACGUUUCCUACACUCGCAGUAAAAAACAGUGACUACAACAUAACUCAGCACCACCUCAGCACCAUACAUACAAAUCAACUUCCACCCGUCUAAGCCACCGCUCACCACCACCGACCUCCACCACGACCCUGAGCUCGAGUCUACAUCUAGCUCCUUGGCCAGCUUCUCCAUCCCAUGACCAAUGAAACUCGAAAGAAACACAAAUACACCCGCCAAAGCCAAUCCAGUUAUCCUCCUCCCUUUCAUCAGAGAAUUUCCUUCCUUAAUCGCAUCAAAACCGUAUCUUUCUUCUAUCACAGAGACGACAAGGCCAAGCCCUGUUAUAGCCAUUAUGUAUACCUCAACGCCGAGACUGAGAACCGUGAUGAGGUAACGCAAUGUGGGUGUAUAACCCAAGAGAGCUGAUAGAAACAUGGGAAUCGGAGAGUAGAGGAAGAGCAGACCAUAGACAACAAUGGAAGUUGCAGUUACUCGCAUCCACGAGGACUUCACUGAUGCAAACGAUGACUUCAGAGACGUGUUUAGGCCGUUGUGUGAGAAGGAAGUUGAUGUGAUGACGGUUAUGGAUGCGAUACAGGAGAGGAUGAAGGACGGGACGAAAUAUCUGGAUUUGAGGUGUAGAAGCGAGACAGCGUCUUCUCUAGACUCUUGCCAGAUCUGUCUAGCUUCGAACCUUGUGUGCACGACGUUGGCCAGGGCUUCUAGACGGAAGACAUGGUUUUUAAGACGAAAGGAGGAGAGAGUUAGGGAGAGGUGUAAGGCUGCGAGAGGGAUUGCUACAAAGGCAAAGACUGGGAAUAAUAUGUGUUUGUUUCUCAAGAGAAUCAUGAAGGAGUCUAGGAGUGUUGUGGUGAUCCGCGUGGAAGAACCAGGUCGCUUUACUUCAAUCAUGAUAUCAAAAGGCACAUAGAAGCCUGCUGCUUAAAGCUUCAACCAAUGUUGGGACAACUCGAAACAGAGUAGAUACACUAUGCUUCUAGAGAAUGUCUUGUAUGAGGCCUGUGUAAACAAGAAAGCACAAAGCUUUUAGCAACUCAGAGAAUCAAUACAAGACUAAGUGCAUUGCAAAACCACAGUUUUCUCAGCAAAAAGAAUCACACUUAUCAGGUGGAAAUCACAGUUCCAUAUGAAAGAAUGACACUUUUAGCGAUUAUUCUAAUGACACUUAAACAAGGUUUGGUUCAAACAACAACUCCAGAGAUCAUACAUAGUUGACCGAAAUGUUAAGACUUUUUCUACACACCCCGGAGUUUUCGGAGUUCCAACAAGUUCGAGUUCAUUGAAGAAUAUAAACCAUAAUAUGAGUACGAAUUGAUGCUAUGUCGUCAAAUUAGAUCAAAUUCUGUGAUCUUGUGGACCAAACGUGUAUGAAGAAAUCAAACAAUCGACCGAGAUCAACUAGAAAUAACGAAUCCAGAACUAGAUUCUAUUUCCCAAACAACAGUCUCUAGAAAAAGGGUGAAUUUCGAUUCCCGAUCUAAAACUUGACGACUAAAUCCCAACUUUUAACAUUAGAACGGAAACAAUUAGGUUUAAUCCAAUCUUUUUUGCUUGAUUACGGUCUAUCUGAGAUCGAGACAAACCUGAAAGAUGCGAAAACACCGAUUGGUGUAAGAGGAAAUCCGAAGAAGUAUUGCUUGGAAGGAGAAUUCAUUGAUUUGAGAGACAGAACAAGUCAAUAAGCUUUGGGUUUUAAAGUUUAACCACUGUUUUAUAACUCAGUAAUUCUGUCCUUUGCGAAAAAAAAAGAAAAAAAAAACUCAGUAAUUCUGUCCUGAUUUGGGACAAUUUUGGAUGCCAAUUGCUUUUAUAAUGUUUUCGACCAAUAGAGUUACUUUACUAUUGGAUUACUAAUUAAUCAUUACUUAAUAAUGUUUUUUUGGUUAAUUGAGUUGUGAUGUUGAAUUAGUUAUUUAUCCACUAGAAAUUUCACAUUUUUUUAGUUUUUUUUAAUCAAAGACUCUAGAGUGAGGUAUCAAACAACAUUUUAUUGUAAAAUAUCAAAAUAGACAACUUUUUCAGACAAUCCUCUAUGAGGCUAUGAUUAUGAAUGUGUGUGACUGCGUGUAAUGAAAAAAAAAAACAAAAUACAGUAUACGAGGUAUAAAAAGAAAGAAUUGUCUCGACAACACAACAAAGAGUUUGCUUGCGGCACCAAAUCAUUGGAGUCUUCUUGGUAGUGAAAAGUUGUUUCCUUUCCCCAAAACUGAUUCAACCCGCAAAUGUGUUCCCUUCUCAUUGGAGCCAACAUUUUGCUUCUUGAACUCAGCUUCUUAACGCUGCUGACAAAUUCCAAAUCCAUCUCCGGUUUAGUAUUGUGACUAUUACUUGAGCAAAUCGAAACCGCAAUUGAACACAAGAUUCUAACAUUGCAGAGACAACUCAAUGCUCAUAUCCAGCAAGGUCUUUGGUAAUUCCUAAGUUUCACAAACCAAUGGAUUCAUAGACUGAGAGUCAAUUUCUGCAUCUAUAGAUGAAAUCGAAAACCAUCAAAAAAAUCAACCAAGAUGGUUUUUUCCAAUUUCCUCGGUUUACCUGAAUGAGAGAAGAGCCAGAGGAUUACGCCGCAGAGAAGAAGAAUGAGAGGAAUGAAAUGGAUGACGUUUUCUGCAGAUCUGAAUCGGGACUUCUCUCUCUUCCCCGGUUGAGAAUUCGGGUCGUACCUUGGCAAAAGCAGCUCCACAUCAUCUUCCAUAGCUGUAACGCUCUGAGAUCGAGGCGGAGACAGUGACGGCGUUGAAAGAUUCGCCGGAAACUGAUCCGAAACUCUUGAGCCACUUGCUGAUCUACGCAUCUCUCUCUCCCUAACGUAACUUCUCAAGUCAAAGGUCGAAACUUUUUUCACACAAUAACGCAUAUAAAUACUGUCGUCACGUCAGAUUUGACCAAUAGAGAAGAGUCAAAGCUCUUCUCUUUUUCACCAGUAAUCGCCACAAGAACAAGACCCAUCUUUGAAAUGGUGAAACCUUGUGGUGUCUCUCACCAUGAUCUCUCGUCUCUCUAUCUCCGAGAUAAAUUUGAUUGCUUUAUGGCAAUCACCACAGAUUCUCAGGUUCUUGAAAACUUGUAUCCGUGAACCUUCAGGGAGUUUUAAGCACCCAAAAGCAACAGCUAACUUCUCGCUAUGCCAUAACAAUAGUUUCUUUUUCUGCUCUUCCUCUACAUCGUGUAAAUCAAACUCCAGCUCUGGUAUGUAUCCAGCCAGCUCCAUCUUUUUCUCCAACUCCUUCAGUUUCUUGUGUAUUGACUCUAAUUCCGGGUGGAUCCGAUCACUUGAUCUGAAAUGGUGAACCUUGUUUCGAAUCUCGAUCCAACUGUAUCCUGGUACCUGAAACAAUCGAUUGAACACAUAAAAAGUCUUGUAAAGCGAAUAAAUAAUCACACCUUUUGCAAUCACCAUACCUUCACAACAUUGCUCUGCUUCAUUCUCUUACGAACCCUUGCAACGUCCUCCCAACGACUCAUCGAUGCGUAGAUAUUCGCGAGCUGCACAUACCCAGCUGCAUUACUCGGGUCAAGCUCAAGCAGCUUCUCGGCUGCGAAUUCAGCCAAUUCCACAUUCUUAUGCACCCUACAAGCCCCUAAGAGCGUCCCAAAGACUGCAGCGUGUGGUCUAAACGGCAUCGAUCGUAUCAGUUUCAACGCCUCGUCCAGCUUCCCAGCCCGACUCAGAAGAUCAACCAUACACGUGUAGUGAUCAGGCCGCGGUUCUACCCUGUAAUCUCUCACCAUCGACUCGAAAUGCUGCAUCCCAGUAUCCACUAAUCCAGAAUGGUUGCAAGCUAGCAAAACCGCUACAAACGUUAUCCAAUCCGGUCUGAUAUUGUCAUCUCUCAUCUCACUGAACAAACGCAGAGCCUUUUCUGCUCUACCAUGCUGUGCAUACCCGCAUAUCAUCGCGUUCCACGCGACGACAUCUUUCUUCCUCAUACCCUGAAAGAGCUUCCAGGCAUCACCAAGUUCACCACAUUUGCAGUACAUACUGAUCAGCGACGUCAAUGCGGUUAUCUCACUACACAAUAUAGAUUUACACACUAUCUGAUGGAUCUGCCUCCCUAACCGUAACGCAGAUAACUCGCUGCAUCCAAGCAAUACGCUGCUUAGACCUGACGGGUUAGGCCUAAUUCCAUCAAAAAGCAUUACUUUGAAAAGCUUCAAUCCAUCUCCUGGCCGAGAAUUUUCGACAUAACCAGAGAUCAUAGCAUUCCAUGUAACGAGAUUUUUCUUCACAGUCAUGUCUUUGAACACUGCCUCAGCUAAUUCAACCUUCUUGGCUUUCAUGUACCCUGUGAUCAUCGCCGUCCAGGCCACCACUCCUCUAACAGGAGCCGCUUUGAAGAAACGUGAUGCCAUUUCCAAAUCUCCGCAUUCUACGUAACCAGAGAUCAUCGCGUUCCAAGAAACCUCGUUCUUCUCCGUCAUGGCGUAGAACAAUUCCCGCGCUUUUUCCAUUUCCCUUCUCCGUGCAUACCCUGUGAUCAUCGUGUUCCACGACGCCGCGUCCUUGAAUGGAGCCCGAUCGAAAAAGCUCUGAGCUUUCUCGAAGUCUCCGUUACGAACGUAGCAAGACAACAUGAUGUUGUAGGAGAAAGUAUCUGGUUCAGGGAUUUCGUCGAACAGUUGGUGUGCUUCCUUCAAUCUGCUUGGAUCUUUUGAAAUCCCAACGAGCAGGGUGUUCCAGGUGACUGUGUUCUUAGCUCUCAUCCCGUGAAACACUCGGAGAGCUUCGUCUAUAUCUCCGGAACGUACAAAUCUGGCUAUAAUCUUGUUCAACGGGAAGAUUCGGUCUUGGUCACAAGGUUUAGUCGUCGUUUGAAGCGUCAAGUUAUCGGAGCGAACCAGAGAUGGCUCUGGCGAUGAACAAGAGGAAGACAAACAUGAUCCCACCAAAAUGGCAUCUGGGUUUUCUACGGAGCGCAAAAAGAAUCGAAAUUUCCAGCGUUUGAACGUCCGGUGAAUGUUGAACCGAGAAAGCAUUUUUCAUGGUUUAUGACAGAACAAGGAUGAAAAUGUUUAUAAAUCAUACCAAACAAAAAAAACCUAAAUUUGGAAUUUAACACCUAACAAUUGGGAGAAUCUGAGACAGAACUGAGUUCACUCUCAUUGUAAUAAACUGUUGAAUCAUCUUAUUGUUGAGUUAUUUCUAAUAAGAGACUUAUGUUUUAGAUUAAGUCAAUUGUUGUUUGCUAUUUUCUCGUUAGUGGUGGAACUAGUUGAACUAGUUGAGUCAUGUCCUUGUUUUACGGUUGUUUCAGUUAUUGUACUUUCUUUAUAAGGCAUUAAGGCCGAUGGAAUAAGAUCAGAUCAUUCUGAUGCAAUUUGUGAAUCCUUGAAACCAACUUUACAAUUGGUAUCAGAGCAAAAACACAAACGAGUGAUCAAAGAGAGAGCAAAAAAAAGGAGAGAGAGAAGAUGAGCGACGAUAAAACUCUUACCAAAAUUCCUUCAUUCAAUGGUCAUUACAAUCAUUGGAGUGAACUGAUGGAAAAUCUUUUGCGUGCCAAAGGAUUAUGGAAUCUGGUGGAAGAGGGAUUCACAAAACCGUCGGAGGGAGCCGAGAUGACCGCAGCGCAGCGGAAACAAAUCGAGGAACUCAAGGUGAAAGACCAUCAAGUGAAGCACUACCUGUUUCAAGCCAUUGAUCGGGUGGUAUUUCAACAGAUCUUAGAUCGCAGAACAUCCAAGAUCAUCUGGGAGUCAAUGAAGAAAAAGUUCGGAGGCAAUGAACGAGUGAAGAGAUCUCUCCUCCAAACCUUAAGAAGAGACUUUGAGAUUCUUGCAAUGAAGGCUGAUGAAAGCGUGGACGAUUACUUUGGCAGAGUAAUGUCCGUCUCGAACAAAAUGAGAAGUAAUGGAGAGGAUAUGCCAGAUUCGAAGAUUGUGGAGAAGAUACUUCGAACGCUCACUGACAAAUUCACAUACGUGGUGGUGUCAAUUGAGGAGUCCAAAGACACAAGCAGCAUCACCAUCGACAAACUGCAGAGCUCUUUGUCAGUCCAUGAGAAAAAGUUCAAAAGGACCAGCUAUGAGGAAGAUGAUCAAGCUUUCAAUGUCAAAGGCAGAGGAAGGGGAUCCUCCAGGGGUCGAGGCAGAGGGAGAGGUCGCUCCUUCAACAAAGCAUUGAUUGAAUGUUACAAGGGCCACAACCUUGGGCACUUUCAGUAUGAAUGUCCGCAGACAAACAAUGGUGCAAAUUACGCUGAGAUUGAAGAAGAAGAUGAAGUAUUACUGAUGGCGUUUGUUGAACUUCAAGGCACAAGAAGAGAAGAUGCUUGGUUUGUUGACUCUGGAUGCUCAAACCAUAUGUGCGGAGAAAAGGGUAUGUUCUCAAGUCUGGACACUGAUUUUACGCGUAACGUCAAGCUGGGCAACAAUCACAAGCUGAUGGUUGGUGGGAAAGGAGUAGUGAAGAUAACACUUAAAGGCAUCAGCUAUGUGGUUAACGACGUGUAUUAUGUCCCUGAAUUGAAGAAUAAUCUGUUGAGUGUUGGGCAGCUUCAAGAGAAGAGUCUGGAUGUGCUAUUCAAGGGAGGAGAACACAAAACCUGCAGCAUAUUUCAUCCAACAAGGGGAAAGAUAGCUGAGUCUGUCAUGAGUGCUAAUCGGAUGUUCAUUCUGCUGGGAGAAACAAGUGAGAAAAUGAAGGAAGAAAGAUGCCUGCAAGUUAACAUCUCAGACAAAGCUGAACUGUGGCACCAUCGAUAUGGGCAUCUCAGCCACAAAGGACUUCAUACCCUUCACAGCAAAGAGAUGGUUGUGGGUCUACCUGAACUUGCAGAGAUGAAGACCAUUUGUGAAGCCUGUGUCAAAGGGAAGAAGCAUCGUGUACCAUUUCCUAAGCAAAGCAAGUGGAGAGCAACUGAGAAAUUACAGCUUGUCCACUCAGACCUCUGUGGUCCGAUCAUCCCUCCAUCAAACAGUCAUAAGAGGUACCUGAUAAGCUUCAUUGAUGAUUUUUCCAGAAAAACUUGGAUAUACUUUGUGCAAGAGAAGUCCGAAGCAUUUCAAAUGUUCAAGAUAUUCAAAGCACUCGUGGAGAAGCAAACAAGGUUGUUUAUCAAGUGUUUAAGGACAGACAGAGGUGGAGAAUAUAAUUCCAGCGAGUUCAAAGAAUUCUGUAAGGAGAAUGGGAUCAGAAGGCAGCUAACCACAGCUUACACUCCCCAGCAAAAUGGGGUUGCAGAGCGCAAAAACCGAACCAUUAUGAAUAUGGUGAGAGCAGUCUUGAUGGAAAAGGAGGUGCCUAAAUCUUUCUGGCCGGAUGCUGUGCAGUGGGUAAACCAUGUUUUGAACAGGUCUCCCACCUUGAUUGUUAAAGAUGUGACUCCUGAAGAGGCAUGGAGCGGAAGAAAGCCUUCGGUCGAGCACUUCAGAAUCUUCGGAUGCAUCGGGUAUGUUCAUAUCUCCGAUGUAAAAAGGACCAAACUUGAUGAUAAAAGCGCAAAGUGUGUCUUGCUAGGCUUCAGCAGCGAAUCCAAAGCAUACAAGAUGUAUGAUCCAGUGGAGAAAAAGGUUCACAUUAGCCGAGAUGUGCUAUUUCAAGAAGACAAGGGCUGGAAUUGGGAUGUUGCUUAUUCGGGUGAACAGAACAUGGAGCUUGCGUGGGAUGAUCAGUACGAGUGCAGUGAAAAUCAAGAAAUAGAAGAAGAAGAAGCAGAGGUAGCUGAAGAUGAAGCAGAAGAAAGAACUAAUGUUCCUGUGCCAAACAAUCUAACUGCAGACACAUCAACGUCUGCAGGCAGAACAAGGAGACCACCUGUUUGGGCUGCCGACUUUACCUCAGGAGAGGAGCUGUCAGAUAUGGAGGAAGAAGCAAAUAUGGUCAGGGUUGAUAGUCUCGACAGCACAAUCUGACAUUUAUGGCAUUGAUAGUCAGAGGUAGCUGAAGAUGAAGCAGAAGAAAAAACUGAUGUUCUUGUGCCAAACAAUCUAACUGCAGACACAUCAACGUCUGCAGGCAGAACAAGGAGACCACCUGUCUGGGCUGCCGACUUUACCUCAGGAGAGGAGCUGCCGACUUUACCUCAGGAGAGGAGCUAUCAGAUAUAGAAGAAGAAGCAAAUAUGGUCAGGGUUGAUAGUCUCGACAGCACAAAUCUGGCAUUUAUGGCCAUCUCAGAUCCUACGAGCUUUGGAGAAGCAAGUUAUAAAAUGAUUACUUUUAUAACAUCUCAGAAUACGAACAGAAACGAGAAAGGAAGUGAAACUCACUGAAGACUCGAAACCGAUGAUAACAUUAGAAUUGUCUGUCUGAAACAAGUAUCAUAAAUAAGAAAACAACAAACGACUAAAGACUAAAUGGUAGGUAAACAAAGGAAAAAAAGAGUGUAUUGUUGUUUCAAAAGUAAAAAAAAAAACCGGUCAGGCAUAAGCUUGCAUAAAAUCUAAGAAACUGACGACAACUAAAAAUUUACACCUGACAACAAAAGACCGGUAAACAGUAAAUCAUUCAGACUCGAUUUCAGCAGCGGAGGAAAACUGGAACGAGUUUCGAUGUUUUCAUUGGAUGGAUCUUACUUGCCCCCAAGAGAUGGGAACUGAGCAGUAUCUCCAAUGACAGGCGCAGCUUCACUACGGUGGCCACCAAAUCCGCCGCUAGAAGCACCUCCACGGCCACGACCACGACCACCACGUUCACGGCCACCACGACCUCCUCCUCGGUAGUAGUUCUCACCCUCAGCUGGCUUCAGAAACUCAUUGAUGCUCACAGCCUGCAAAUCAGAAACACACAUUCAUAAGCAAAAAAGCUUAUUGACUUCUACAAAAUAUUUUUGAUUCAGAAAACGAUUUGAACCUUUUUGGCCUUCUCUUCUUUGUCAUCUUUGCGUUUGUCCUUGUCAGAACCCUGUGAAAUAGAUCAAAGCAAGGGUCAGAAUCGUCUAAGCAAGUAGAUUCUAUACACGAUAUUGUCUUACCAACUUGAUGAAGAUUUCAUCGUUAGACUUCUUGUUUGAGAGUUGUUGCAUUGAUUCAAACACUUUAGUAUCAACUUUCCUCUCGGAGGUGGUCUGAGAUUGAAGGGCCUUUUUCUUCUCCUCAAGGAUUUUCUCAUACUCAUCCAGAGUCAUUUCCUAAUUCGAAACACAAGCCAAAACACAAUCAAUGUGAAUAACAAGUAAAUACUGGUGAAAGGGCCUAAUAACUACAACACUGAUUUCAAGUUCCAUCAUCUAUUCUCGGCUUACCUUGUUCUCAGGCUCUUUCUCCUCCUCAGCUUCAGCAGUGUUCUCCUUGUUAGCAUCAGCAGCUACAUCAUCACCAGCAGGCUUCUCCACAGCAUUCUUUUCAGUCUCAGCACCAGCUACUUCCUCAGUCUCACUAAAAGAGACAAGAGAAUCUUCUUUUAGUCCAAAUUCCAAAUUCUUAUCACAUAAACCAACACAAAUGUUUUUACAAAAUGCAAUCAAUCCCAAAAACAAAUGCUUACCCAGCAAAGACUUCUUCUCCUGGUGUUCCCCAAUUUCCACGACCAGAUCCUUCACGUUUGAAGUCACCCCUAACCAAAAGAUAAACUUAAGCUCAUGAGAAUUUCAAUUGCAGAACAUGCCACAACAACAAUAAAAGUUGAGCGAGAGUAAGACUAACCCCCUGCCAGUUCCACUGCGACGCUCGUGCGUCCUUCGAGGACGUUCGCCUUCACCAUCUUCACGUCGACCACCACGGAAAGAACCACGAGGAGCACCUCCACCACCACCACGCCUCUCAUAAGAAGACUUUGACACGUCUCCUUCCUCUGAGGGCUUACUGUAUCCCCCUGAGUAUCCAUUGUUACCUCCGGGACCAUCACCACGUCCAAAAUCACGGUUGUAACCACCAGGACCUCCACGACCACGGCUAAACCCUCCGCUGCCUCUACCACCACCACGUGGAGCUUCACUCCUAGCCUCUUUCACUAAUUAACAACAUUAAGGUACCAACCUCAAUCAACUAAAACAACGAUACAAAACUCCAAAAAUAAAUUCAAUGAAUCAAUCUAGAGAAUCUAAUAUAACAACACAUACAGUCUACUAAAUAAGGAAAUCGAAUAGAUGAGAAGUUUUAUAGUUUGCUAAUCGUGUUUAAGAGAAUCUCACCAGCUUGAGCAGGAGGAAGUGGCUUCGACGGAAGCUUCCCAGCAGCUGAAAUGGGACCAGACUUCUUGGACUUAUCAGUUUUCUCCGGUGGAGCGAUGGAGACGGCGAGCUGGCUUGGAUCCUCAGCGUCGUUACCCAACAGAUCAAAAGGGUUCAAAGUUGCCAUAUCUUAAAAUCAAUCGAAGUGAUUAAAACACACAAACUUUUUUCCUCCCCAAAAGUAUCACACAGAGUCACAGAGACAACUAACAGUAGUAAUAAAGUGAAGCCAUGGAUUAAUAGAUCUAAAGAGUAGAAAAGAAACGUCGGAAUGAAAGAGACGAAAUGGGAAUUAGGACAGGAACUAAUUUGAGUUUGGUAAGAGAAAUGAAAAGAAAGAAAAUGUGGCAAUUUUUGGAGUGGCCGAAAAGCGGCGUAGACAAACCUAAUCGCUUAAAACACCCAGCUUUUCUCACUGAUUGAGUGUGGUCGACCGCAUGGUAAGAUUGAAAUGACCGGCAAGAUCUAACCGUACGAUGCAGCGAUCCUGAAAUCGACAAGAAAACAAUACAUAACUCAACAAGUCAUUAUUUGAGCAAACAUGUUAUUCUUCCAUGGGCCAUUUUUAGUAUUGUUUGAUCAUAUAGGCCCACGAAAAAUUGAUACUUUUUAUUUUAUUAUAUUUUUGCAUUAUCAAAUGAUCUUUAUACGAUCUUGAUAUGUCUAGGACUCUCAAAUCAAUGUCGACAAAAAAAGAUAUGUCUAGGGCUCUAGAGUCUACAAAAGUUUUUGUGAUUUGAAUAACUUCUUAUCUUCUUAUCUAACAUAUACACAACAAACAAAAAAUAUUGUGAUAUUCAAAGAAGUCUUAUGUUUGUAAAUUAGUAAUACUACGAUCGUUUACCUUCUUGGCUUCCAUGCAACGCCAAAUUUCUAUUUAUAACAAAUGUCAAAAGACUCCAAAAUAUUACACAGUAACACAACUUCUAUCAUUUGCAUUUAACAUGCCAAUGGCGAUAAAUAAAAAGCUUUUAUUCCAAAUAGGAACAAACAAAAUAGUCGGCAAACUAAUAAUAACAAUUAGGCUUGUCGGCAAAAAAAAAUACAUUUUUUCAAAAGUGCAUAAAGAAAAAGAAAAUUAGAGCUCUGUCAUGACGACGGACUAGGCAAAACAUCUCCGUUAUCAGGAACAGUAGUAAUACGGCUAAGUCUCAAAGACUUUCCAGUGUACAAAGCCUUGACGUUUGACCGUUGCUCAUCCAAAAGCUUCCUCAAACUACGUUUCGCGUUUGCCCUAAACGGACAGUUCGACGCUAAAAAACCGUCGACCAAAUGCAAAUACGCCUCCAAGUCAUGACAGCACGCCACGUCAGCAUUCGGUUUCAAGUACGGAGACAUCUUCAUAUCUACGCGCAGCUCCGCUCCCACGUGCGAGUAAGCCCAUGGAUUGUUCUUCUCCACCAUCUCCAUUAUUAUACCCCCUUGACUUCUCCCGUUAUUACGAUUCUGCCCUUGCUUAUCGUUAUCGGAGAAUAUCCCGGGGACUUUCGUCACCACGUCCUGGCUGUUCACUACGCGGAGGACUUUCACUCCCUUCGAAUCCAACCGAUCGGCGAACUCCCGGUUUCCGACUCGAGGCCCGCCGAAUGAAAACACCGACACCGGAGGCGCGUGUGGA